GACGAACGCUGGCGGCGCGCUCAACACAUGCAAGUCGAGCGAGAACCAGGGCUUCGGCCCUGGGGACAGCGGCGAACGGGUGAGUAACACGUGGAUAACCUGCCCUCGGCACCGGGAUAGCCCGGGGAAACCCGGAUUAAUACCGGAUGGCCCUUCCGGCUCACGAGCCGGUCGGAAAAGGUAGCUUCGGCCUCCGGCCGAGGAUGGGUCCGCGGCGGAUUAGCUUGUUGGUGGGGGAACGGCCCACCAAGGCUCCGAUCCGUAGCUGGUCUGAGAGGACGAUCAGCCUCACUGGGACUGAGACGCGGCCCAGACUCCUACGGGAGGCAGCAGGGGGGAAUCUUGCGCAACGGGCGAAAGCCUGACGCAGCGACGCCGCGUGGGGGAGGAAGGCCUUCGGGUUGUAAACCUCUUUCAGGAGGGACGAAGCUACUCGGGUGAAUAGCCCAGAGGGUGACGGUACCUCCAGAAGAAGCCCCGGCUAACUACGUGCCAGCCGCCGCCGUAA
This 508-nucleotide ribosomal RNA is filed under the name uncultured bacterium. RNAcentral describes it as "partial 16S ribosomal RNA". It matches the Rfam family "Bacterial small subunit ribosomal RNA", at positions 28 to 523 of the family's 1533-position model. The record is from RNAcentral.